UCAUCAUCAUUCACUCCGAGCCAAGAUGGAAGAGAUGUCACUUCGCGAUUAGUGGUGGACCAAGUCAAAAUGAUGGAAAACUAGUACUUUUUGGGACCGCAGCCGGUUUCAGCAGUGCUUAUCGAGUGUUUCGAAGGUUUCCCCUGCCGCUAGGUGUCGAAAGUGUCCAGUGCGAAGUGGAAAGUGCAUAGGAAAAGUGAUUUUACGGUGGCCGUAUCGAAGGUGAAAAGUGAAUAUUAUAAUCAAGAUUCCGUAUUUCGCGAGUGUUGGCCUGAAGGCGAGGAUUCCAUUUUUCCUUUCCCGAGUCGCUCGGAACGGUGCGAAGGAGCAGGAAGAGAAGAGCCGUUUUUAAUUCUUCGUUGUGUGCGUGACAUAUUGCGACGGUGUUGCGCGUUCGGUGUAUUUUUUUUAUUCGAUCAUCAGUCGCCCGGUUUCUAGUGUUGGUGUGAUAUUCGAAACGCUUCACGGCAAAAAUCGCGAAUCAAAAAGGAGUUUUUUUUUCUCCUUUGAUUGGAAGUGUGAAAGGGUAGUUGAGUAGAAGAAGGAAAAAAAAGGGUGAAACACACAGAGGAAGAGAAUACGAAGCCCGAGGGGGAGGCGGUGAAGGAGGACGCGCAGUUAGCCGUCCGUCGAGUGAAGACGGGUUUUGGCCGUAGCGGUGUGGUCGUGCCGUCGUCGCCCGCCCGGUUGUCUUCAGCAGCUUCACACUGCCUGGUGAAGUGCUGGCUUUUAUACGGCUGAUUUUCGGAUUUUUUUUUUUGCUGCUGCUUGUGGUGCCUACUGACGACUCUGACUGUUUCCAAAACCAGUAGCCGCAGUAGCUCGGUAGAGUGGAUCGCGGAUUUGACAUCGCUGGCUCACAUAUGUAUUUGGAUACGAUCAGCAGCCUGUAGCAAUAACGCAGUAAACUGAUACGCAUAAUUGAAAAAUGGAUCACACGGAACGAAGGUGUAACCAUUCUUCUCAUAGAUGUGCCUUAGGAAUUUCAAGUGAACUGUCAGAACACUGAAUAAAGCACACAGCUGGCUAUCGCCUCCGUGUCAUCAUCAUCAUACAUCGUCUUCGAAAGCAUCCGAGAUAUAGGAACUGAGAGUGCGUGACAUAGAACACACAAGCCUAAACAGCACACACCCCCUCGAGAUAAAAACAGUGGAACGAUUUUUUUUACGCUUUCGCACGAAUCAUGCAAGAAGAUUGACGGAAGGAGCAAGCAAUUCGCUGCUAUAAGGAGAAAGAGAGCAUUACCGCAUCUAAUUGUCGCAGAUAAUCACACGUCUCACCGAGAGACAAAUCGAUACAACUACUUAGCUUUGUUCUUAGAUUUUUUCCUCUAAUUGUGAUUACGAUAGCCGCCGAUAGGGGGCUUGCACACAUCGGUUCAUUAAGAAAUAUAGAGUUUAGAAAUUCAAACAUUUCAUUGGAUAAACGAGUGAAGCGCAUCUUUGCUCUAGCAGCGCCGCCCACCCCCCAUAUGUUGGGGACAGCUAAGCCGAACGAACGGCUGAUAAGUUGGACUAAGCCAUCAUCAUCAUCACCACCACCAUCAUCGGUGCGAACGCAGUACUACUGCGGUGGUGCCGCGAGUGUGUUUGUAGCAACAGCAACAGAGCAAGUGGAAGUAGUGGUAGCGCGAAAACACUACCGACAACCGACGACGACGACGGCGGUAGUGUUGGUGCUGGUUCCAUUGGACCUGCCAUACAAUAAUGGACAGCAGCGAGGACAGCAUUGUGAUCUACCGAGCGACCGUCAGCUACACUUCCGCCAAUGCCGAAGAACUUAGCUACCAGAAAGAGGACAUCCUUGAGGUGUACGUCCCGAAAACGGCUACCGGUACAACGUUGGCUAGCAGCACUGGCGGCUGGUACAAAGCGAGCAACACACGCACCAAGAAGAAUGGUUAUGUGCAAUUGCAAAGCCUGCAACGCUGCAACGACAGUAGUACCAGUAGUAACAGCAACAGCAUGACAUCCCCAUCCGCUUCUCAUUACCUAUCGGUGACGGGUCUGGCAGGGGACACUUCCACUAGCAACGGUAGCAGCAACGUAGCCACCAGUAGUGGUAGCAACGGUAACGGUAGCACUACCAAUGGCGGCGAUCCAAGCGGCACCAUCGACGGUGCCCCGACGGUGGCCGCCGUAACGACCGUAGUGUCCACGAUGGCCAACCUCACGAUUACCAAGUCCUCCAAGGACAAUAACACCCUGGUGGUGAACAUGACACCGACGGUUGGGCACCAUCAUCAUCCCGGAGGCGGUGGAGGCGACCCGUACGCACUGGAGGAUAUCUACGUGCCGUGCGUGAACCCUAGCACCGGAGCGGGUUUGGUUAAUAAAGUGGAUGAAUUAAGUAAUAAAAACAUUAACAAAUGUCACACGACCGUACCUGUUUAUUUUGUAACUCCUAUUAUCUGUUUACUUUGUCGCGACUACAUCUGGGGGCUCGGACUGCAAGGACGACAGUGUAGACAAUGCUGGUCGUGUUUCCACAUCAAGUGCUUACCGCUAGCCGUUCACGAUAUGUGCCAAAGAAAUCCCGACGUUUAUCCGAAGAUGCCGGCCACCUACAGUACCGACAAGUCAAUUAACGAGUGGACGUCAGCGAACGUUUUGGAAUGGAUGGCUGCGAACAACCUGUACACCUACGCUGACGUGUUCAAAGCGAAAGAUAUAAAAGGCUGUGAUUUAUCGAACCUGGAUCGUGAUAAACUAGGACAAAUGGGUAUUAAAAAUGAAUUCCAUCAGCAAACAAUCCUAGCGUCCAUAAAGGAUUUGCUGACGAGUGCGGAGAAGCCUAUCCAAAGCGGUGGAACGAAUCGGACCACUAGCGGCGGCAUUGUGCUGAAGAUGGCCGGUGAAGACAGCGACGCGCCACUCGGCAGCAAGCACUCGCACGACCUAGUAGACCAUUCGUUCUUGAAGCUGGUUAAAUGUGAUAAGUGUCAGCAGUACUUGCGUGGGCUGAUACAUCAGGGAUUGCUAUGCAAGCAGUGUAAUCUCAUUGUCCACCGGCAGUGUUCGGCCACGGGACUUAAGCCGUGUACAGCAGACACUGGCAGUCGGACGACAACGACGACGACGGCGACGACAGCGCCGGUGGCGACGGUCAACCGAAUGCAACCGGUGUUUGGUUUGGGCCUGUGCCAUCAGUUCAAUGUGGCCGAACUGCCGGCCCCGCAAAUUGUCAUAAUACUCUGCAAUGAGCUCGAGCAGAAAGCGAUGAGUGACAAUAACCUAGAUCUAUACAAACUGUAUCGAACGACACCGCCCAACUACGAUGAGGUGACCAAACUGCGUGACUCGCUCAACGAGAACCUAAUCAACACCGAUCUCAGCAGCUACUCGCCCGAAUGCGUGGCCACGGUGCUGAAGAAGUUUCUCCGCGAGCUGCCCGAUCCGAUCAUUCCGGUUCUGUUCUACGACAAGUUUGUGGACGCCUCAAAGAUCAUCAGCGACGCGGUGGCGGUGGAACAGCUUCGGUUGCACAUCCAGGACCUCCCGGUCUAUCACAACAUGACGCUCAAGUACAUCAUGAUCCAUUUGAUACGAAUCUGUCGAAUGCAGUGCCAGCGGGGGAUCAAGGACCAACCGACGAUACUGAUACAAGUCUGGUGCCAUAUUCUGUUGCGUCCUCCCUGGGAGAAAAUUGUUCAAAUCGUGUACAACACGGAAAACCACCUGCGGAUAAUGGAACUGCUACUGUACAAGGUCGACUGGAACGAGAUGCUACCUGAGUUUGCAUCCGCGCCGGCAGUGCCCCCACGGAAAAUUUCCCGUAGUACGGCCUCUCUGCAACAGCAACAACAACAACAGCAGCAGCAGACCUUACUGCAGCAAACCCCCGGUACUUCGUCCAGUGGUUAUUCGUCAUCCAGCGGUAGCGGAAUGGGCAGCAUGAGGAAACCAAACAUCACGUCUCCGGCAGCUGUGAUACAAUCGCCCCUGAUUGGAGGGACGAUCUACAAUAAUACCGGUAGCAGUAGUAGUAGUGGAGGCAGUGGCAGCGGCUCCACCAGCGGUGAUAAUCGGGGGACGGCCAUGUUCCGAAUGGUCGGCGAUGUCGACACGCCAGCCGAUCUUAGGGCGGCCGAGUGGUACUGGGGCAAGAUCACUCGGGACGAGGUCAAGGAAAAGAUGACCGAUGCACAGGACGGUUCGUUCUUGGUGCGGGACGCCACCAGCGGAGGUGGCGAAUAUACGCUCACGCUGAAGAAGGACGGUACGGAUCGCGUCAUCAAAAUCUUCCACUCGAUGGGCAAAUAUGGCUUCACGAAAGAUUGCAGCCACAACAGUGUGGUGGACUUGAUCAAUUUUUACCGCAAUGUCUCACUGAAGGAGUACAACACGAUUCUGGACAUCAAGUUAACGUUCCCGAUCUCGCGAUUUGAAGACGACAACUACAUCUGCAGCGCAGGGGACGACACUCCCCGGUUAGCGCAGAAGUUUAUCGAAACGGCUCAGCUGUUGAACGAGAAGCUACAGGACCGGGUAAAACUGACGGAUGAGUACACUACGGCCAAGAAUCAAGUCGAUUUGAAGAAGCAAGCCCAGGAAGCGUUUAUCGAAGCGGAAAGACUUUUCCAAGAGCAGCUAACGAUACAGGCCAAGUUUGUGAACGAGGCACAGCCUCACGAGAAGCAAGGCAUCAAUACCAACAACAAGUUGAUACGGGACCGGAUGCAGGAGUUGAACCAGUGCAAAGAUCAACUCCAGGAAGAUAUGGAUAAGGAGAAAACUCGAAUCUGGAUGCUGGAGCGAGAAAUCAACAAGCUCAAUCCGAUAAUCAUGUCCCUGAGCAAAGAAAAGCUUGGCUACGUGGAGGAACUGAAACGGCAGGGUGUCAGCGAGGGUCAAAUCAAACAAAUGGAAACGGAUGGCUACUUUUCUCACAGUCACGGCAGCCAGGAAAUGCCUCACAAUGACGAGAGCUCCUGGCUGAAGCCGCACUUCAAUCGGACGGAAGCCGAGAGGGAGCUGGCACCCAAGCCAAACGGUACGUUCGUGAUACGAUCCGGCAGCGGGGGCCACUAUGCCCUGUCCAUCAAGUGCAACGAUACGGUCAAUCACUGUAUCAUCCAGCAAACGGAACGGGGCUUUGGAUUUGCGGAACCGUACAACAUUUACGAUUCGCUCAAGUCGUUGGUACUGCACUACGCUACCAACUCACUGGAGGAGCACAACGAUACCCUGCAGACGACACUCAAGUAUCCGCUGGAUGCCACCAGCAGCGGCAGCAAGCAGCAAUCAUCCACCUAGGCAAUCCCACCCAGCAGCUCUGUUGGGAGGCGUUAGUUUUCAUUCAGUGUCCAAUGUUUUCUCAAAUGCUGUCGCUUAAUUAGGAAGAAAAGGUAGGAAACGUUUUAAUUUGUCCCCGGAGUGGUGCUGCGCCGUGGCAGGGAAAGACAAACAAAUGGUAAGCGCACUUGUCUUUUUUAAAUAGAUAUUUAUUCCACGUGUUGGGUAUCGUCGUCUGUUACCGCCAUCUUUUACUAGCUAGGAAGUGUUACGAAAUAUAAAAGUGUUGAUUGGAAAAAUAUUCCGCAAGCAAAUCAGGUAGCAAAUUGUUGAAAAUGACACAAACUAACGCAUCAAGGCAGGUUUCUUCCUAGAACCAGAAUGGUUAGUAAUUCUUCCAGGAUAGUCCUAAACCCCUCCCCCCUUAUCACCCCCCCAACAUACACGUAGUCGCCGCACUCCCCCACCCAAAUCGAAACAAAAAGUGAUUAAAUGAAACAGGCGCGGUGUGUGUAGGUUAGGAAGGCAAUUGAGCUGCUGUAGGUGAGAUCGGUUACGGUAAGACACGGUGCCACAAAUCUGAUGCUACUGCUGCUGACGUCAGGGUUCUUCAAUCUAAGUUUGGCAUACCCCCCUUCCCCAUGUGGCGGAAAUUGUUCCGUUAUGAAAAGCAAUCUGCUAAACCACCCUGUCACUCUUUUGGUUUUUAAUAUAUUACAACUAUUGUUUAGUGACUGUGUACAUAUCAAACGUAGAGUCGAGAGAGGUUACGCGUGCGCGUGUUUGUUCGCUUAUUCGUUUGACAUGCUGGACGAAUAAGGGGAACUUCCGAGGUCCGGAUCACUCAGAUCCCUUAUGUUAAGGGACGGGAACGUCCGGGCGGGUAGUAUUCUAAAAUGAACGUUGCUUUUCAUGUGUUUUUGAAAACUAAAAAAAAAAACUAAUAUUGCUCAACUCCUUCAAGAAGGAGGUUGACGAGGGAGGUGCAAAACAUUCCACUGUAUAAUCUAGAAAGAGUAAGUAUAUGUAGGAGACCUUGAUUUCUUUAUUGGUUGAACUGUGAGCAACAGGCGGCUAUCCAUAAAGUAUCCCUCACCCAAUCGGCGUCCCCAAAAUUGGCUCUCAGCUCAGUCGAUAUUUUCCUGCAAUCAGGAACUACACAAGCACUGGCUGUUGGGGUCUUGAAUUUUAAUCCAUUCGGGUGAGAGGGACUCUAUACCAAAACCAUCGCCUGCAUGACAUCUGGCUCGUCGGAAGAGCUGGAGGAAGAGCAUGUGAGCGAGAGGCUGAUGGUAUUGGCGGAGUGUGUGUCAGCACCUGCUUGAAAAGCUGUGCUAUUUUCAUCAUGUCAGCGCGAGCUUCUGUACAGUUCGUGAGGAAUUAUGCCGUUGUAUCGGUUAGAGACUCUUAAUGUCCCGUAAUAGGCCCUUAUUACUCGUGUCAAAUAUAGAGUCAGUUCAAGCUGGUGGAACUUUGACUGAAGGAACACCAGUACAAGCAACUCUGAGUAGCUCGGAUGGGUUGAAUGAACGCUCGCAAGUUGUUGCAAUCUGUUUCGAGAUGAGCAAAGCUAUUGAGCUCAGAUAAAUUCGUUCUUUCAUAUCGACAGCCAGAGUUGCGACCUAUCACAAUCACGAUCGUCAAACAGCUGAUGGUAGUAAUGCUUGCUAUCGUUGUUCUUGUCGAAGAACUCUCCAUGACCAUCCAUCAAGUUGACGAAAGAAGUAAAAAGCAACUGGUGAAUGUCGUCUUCGGUGGUGAUCCAUCACCGAUCUGGUCAUUCCCGACAAUUCUGUGCUCGUUUUGAACCAGUUGCUGCUUUGCUUGCUUAUGUGAGUGUGUUGAUGAGUGAGCCCAACAGCUUCAUUUUCAAUAGGCAUUCAUUUUCUUCUGUCUUUUCGCUUUUUCUCAUCAUCGUACUGCAGAAGUCUUCACUGUUUUCGUUGUUCUUUUCAUCAUCAGCAUCGAAGCGAGUGUUACGUUCUGCCUGUGAGCAGCAACCAUUAUUGGUGAUUGUUGUUUGCCAUGGCUCUACCUCUCACUGCGUGGCAAAACGUUCUGUCAGCGAUAGUCGGUUGAUGCGUUGACGAGUGUCGCAUGAGUGUCAUGAUAUUUUGCAUUUGAUCAAAGUUUAUUCACGAAAGCUAUUAAUUUAAUCGCAUAGAGGGCCUUUUCCCCUACACGGCGUUUCCGGUGGUUUGCUUUAGAUAAUUUUCAUUUUCGGGAAAUCACUCCACCCCACCUAUUCUGCGAGUAGUGUGAUUCUUUGUCAAUAGUGAACAGACAAGUCACGUCGUGUGAGAUGACACUCCGUGCAAAUGCACAAUUGAGAGUCACCUCAUUAGCGACAGAGGGUCACAUGACUAGAAUAGGGGGGAGACUGUCGAAUUUAAUUAUUACUUUACUUAAUUACAUUACAGUUGUGUUCAAAUGGCUGUAGAAAAAAGGCCCUUUUGGAGUUUCUAAAUUGUCGAUCUAAAACAGCAGAAAAAUCCUCAAACAAGGGCUCUAAUACACUCUUGUCAGAACCUUCCCAGGAAGCUCAAAACUACACUGACAAAAGUUGCCAUUGAGAACGCACAUGAUAUUUUUCCAAUAAAAAAAAUAAUGAUUUUUAUCUGAAAUGGACAUAAAAUUUAUAUGAUCACGUGAAAUCUAUGUGAUGAAUCAUUGGGUUCAUGUGCUUUUAUGGUGAGAUUCCCAAUAAUGAGAUCAUAUGAAAAUUAUGUGAAAUUCUGAUUUCCAUUGAAAAUUGUGAGUGCAGAGUCUGGGUGGGAAUACUCCGUUUGACAUAAUGCCCACGGGACAUAACUGCCAUUUGGCAUAAACUUGAAAUAAAUGCAUUUUAUUGCUUUUAUCGAACAUGAAUAUGUGUUCUUAAAUAUUAACGGCUCUUUUAACAUGAGGUACUUACCGAAGAACUAUUUAUCGGUAUAAGUUUUCCAUAUUUAUGCCAAAUGUGCAUUAUACCAAAUCUAGUUGGGAAGGCUCACAGUAGUUACCGAAGGUCUCCAAAGAUCUGAUAGGCGAUUUGAAAGGAUUUCAAGUUUGGGACCUCCCCUAUAAAAUUAAUUGGUGGCUUAGAAACAUCCAGAGAGUCAGGAAACUGACUACAAGGGUCGAUUUCUUCACCUGCGUAUUUAAUCAACUUAAGCGCAGGCUAGGAAACCAGCCCUUAGUAUCUGCUCCAAAUGAUGUUACGAACUCAUUUGGGAGGUCUUUUCAGAUGUGUGUGGAAGUUCUUCUAUAAAAGAAAACUCCGGCAACUCUUUUUAAUAAAAAUAGUAGCCUAAUUACUUUGGAAUGGUUCAAUACAAGGACUUAACGAUUUAGUUAUGCGAGAGCUCGUGAAGAAAGGUGCCUUAGACAGCCUCUUUUCCUUUUAAAGACCCUAGAACAUCCUCAGUAAGAUCCAUUCCCUUCUGAUACUAUUUGGCUUCGGAAAGACUUUUUGAACUAGACCAUCUCCAAAGAUAUCUAACAUUUGAAAGAUGUAUCUAGAACCACUGAAAAAGAUCCUAGGGUCCUUACCUAGAAUGUCAUACGUGGGCUGGUUAGUCUCUGAAGCCUCCGGAAGCGAACGUCCCCUACUUACAGAGUUUUGAAUGGGGUGGGGGGGCUUCAGAAGGAAUUUCCCUUUGCUACAGAGUUUAGGAUGGAGCCUCAGAAUAGAGCUACCCUAAUUACAGAGUUUGGAAUAUGGUGGGAGUUGCAAACUCAUUCCGCAGACUUUCUCUUCGAGAUUCAAUAUCGCUCCACCCAUUCUCCCUGGGAUAUAAACCUUGGUUCAAAAACUUUUGUCCAACCCUAAAUGUCCACCAGCAGCAGCAGCAGCAACAACAGCAGCAGGUUGUGGUUAUUGUGCCACGACAAAAACCGGCCGCGAAUCGAGCUCCGAAAAACGCGAACGAUGUUUAGAGGGAACAUUUCAAGGUUAGGUUCUUUGAGGAACGCAACUGAUGAAGCUAAACUUCCAGUAUAAUAUAGGGGAGGAAAUUUUUGCUAGGUUUGAGCGAUGGACAAUGGAAACGAGUUGACCCGGUGGUCGUGCGUAUCUGUUUACAGGGAAGAAGACAAAUAAGGACAAAGGGAACAGGAUUGAUUGGUUAGGAGAACGGCCUCCCCAAAGCACAACAGACACAGAUAGAGACAGGCAGGGCAGGAGUCACACCCCUUACCUUCAGACAGAUUUAGAAACAAACAGGUCCCAGUUUGACAAGAGAAAGAGAGACGAUGCGUCUCGGUGAGAAUAAGCAAAGAUCUUACGUCUUUUUUAUUAGUUUUUGUGGACAGUUCUCGAUUAUAAAAAUGCAUGUUUGCAAUUUGUAUAAAUUUAUAUAAUUAUUAUCUAUUGUUUAAGGAAUGUGGAAUGAAUGGUCGUGUGAAUGGGUCGGAUCGGAGUGGAAGCGGUUGUUGUGCGGGAACGUCUCUGAGAGAGUUUGAGUUUUGUUUGAUAGUUUUUCGUUUUUAAAAAUUGCGUACCAAGUUAAGGCAGGAAAUAUACCCCUUUUUUCUUCGUGUGCAGAAGCCGUGCGGCAAAGGAUUUGGUUCUCUGCCCACGAGCGCUAUAUCUACACCCAUUAUACAUACAACAUUAUAGGAGAUAUACAAAAAAGGAACAAGCAUUACUACGUAGGAGUUAUAUCAAUUGAUUUAAUCAUUUUAAACUGUGUUAAUAAUUGUAAUUUGAAAGAAAGGAAAGAAACAACUCUAAACAAAAAACAACAAAACAAAAGGAAAGUCCUGUGAAAACAAUGAUGAAAACAUCGUAAAAUCAAAAAAAACAUAAAUGUGAAGAAACACACAAAUAAGCCCGAAAGCCAGACGGAGAGAGCAAAAAAAUUAAUAUAUUUCUGGAAAGAGACUAAGCGAAUGUGAAAAACAAAGUAAAUUAGUAAUCAAAAAACAAAAGAGUUUUAAUUUUAAAAAUUACUUAUAACAAUAAAGAUAUAAAAAAACUAUAUUAAAACAGCAACAACCGUAGAUGAGAGAAAAACCCUACGAGAGGAAGAAAAACAACAAAAAAAUGUUUGUAAACAUGUAAGUUAAUAGGAAUACAAAUAACAAAUUGGAAGAGUUACACUGCAGAGAGCAGGAAAGGAAAGCGCGAAAACAAAACAAACAAGAAAACAAAGUGGUACGGAACGGAAGGGAAGUUUGAAACGCAACACAAUUGCAGAUAUAUAUUCUUUUCUUGGUGUAUGUGUGGUCAGGAAUAGAGAUCGAAAGUAAAACUGACGAACGAGAAAGAAACGAACACAGGCUAAGGCAAACCGUCGUGGUCCACAUUUUCAUCGUACUUUUAGUAGAGAAGACAUUUGAAAUUAACCGAAUUUGUUGUAGUGAGCAAUCAAUUGGAAAUCAGAAACUAGCCGCAGCAGAAAAUUAGGAAACGAAAAACAAAAAUCACCAUCGCCGUCAUCACGGGAAGCAGGCAUAGGUACACUAAAAGCAAUUUGUUCGUGGUGCAAUCGGAAUUCCCACCUGAAGCAGUUGAAGAAGCAUGAGUGGAAAAUCACUAGAAAAAAAACCCCCUUCAACAAACCACCAAGUCAACCAACGAACAACAUUUUCUCACUGGAAAAUUAACAUCCGUGCCGGUUCAAACAAAACUGGAAUGCAUCCAAAAGGAAAGGUAGCAAUUUUUGGUCGUUGAAUCCUCUUCGUUCUCUCAAGGUAAACACUCGUAUUUCUGUUUUCGUUCGAACCGUUUUUUUCCAUACAAAUAAGAAAAAAUGUAUGCAAAAUACGAUUCGAACGAAAACAAUAAUAUCUCGAUUGCUUUUUUGAAGUGACGUAUCAGCUUUUGUAAACAAUGCAUUUGUUCGUCGGUUUGGCGUAACUGGUAGCUCGUCCACGCAUACUAACAACAACUAUCAGGUAGGGGAAAAUUUCCCCUAUCUGAUGGUAGUGUUAGCAUGCGUGGGCGAACUAUCAGCUACGACAAACUGACGAUCAAAUGCAUUGUUUAAAAAGCUGAUACGUCCCUUCGAAAAAGUAAUCGAGAUAUGGGUGAAAAUUAGAUUUUGUUUUACAAUUGAGGAAAACUCUCACAGUUGAAUAACAUUUGGAUAUUUCUGUCGUAUCGUUCGUCACGGUUCACUAUCCUGAUUUUGAUGUCUGUGUAAGGGAAAUUUUCUCAGUCAGCCGGCACUACUAAUUAAAUAAAUACAAUGUUACCCAUAAAUGCAUACAUGAGUAAAAUAUUUUCGUUUGUGAGUCAUAGUUACUCAUAUAUCGUAAUCGCUAUCUAGGAACAACUUCUAAACGUUAAGUUCACAAAUAUCAGCUUCUACGACACGUGCAACAUUCAAAUUGUUACUCCACGUUUGCUGCACUGCAGCAUAGGGUAGAGCGCUACUUCGUCGUAAUCGCCCAUUUCCGUUCUAUCGAUCAGAAAAGAUCAAUAAUAUCAAUGAUUUCAACGUGCACAAAUCAAUUAUAGGUUUGUUCCGAUGCGCUAGAUCAUUAGCUACAACAUAAAUCCUGUUAGAGCGCAUUGCAUGAAUAUUUACGCUCAUUGUUCUCAAAACAAAAGAAGCGCUCCUAGCGAAUCCCCUUUUUCUACGUUUAUCCGUAGGACGAAGAAAAUCUAAUGGCGUUUCAAUGCGUUAGGACGGAAUUGAAACUCGUAGAACGAAUUUAGAAUCAAGAAGCAGUGUUAGAUUUUAGACAAUAUCUCAACAAUUUGUGACUCGUUAUCAAAUCCAACGGUACGUAUGGAAAGGUGAAUAAAUUUGCAAGUCAUAUUUGACAGAAAUAUUACAUUUUUUGUUUAAACUCGUUCAGCAAAGAGAGGUAAGGCGCGGGUUGUGCUUAGUAGGACGGAAAUUAGAUCAAAAACCCUACAUGAAGUAACAAUUUCAGGUGAAAUUGGGCACCGAUUUCCGAGAUUUGUGUAAUUGAAAAUUCGAAGAGGAAGUGCAUGUACAGCCUACGUAGCGGUCAUUUGUAGACUCUAGAAGGAAUCACUAUAAAUGGCUAAACGAAUUACUCAUUUAAUGAGGAGUCUAAUUUUUCCUCGAAAAUGUACACUUAAUAGUCAUUUAUAGAUAAUUUUGCGGGUAAUUAUCCGCGGGAAAUGUUCUGCUCUAGAAUUGUUCUGUAGUGUGCCAUGGAUGCACUUUAAAAGGGCAUACGUCCACCGUAGUUGUUGGGAACGAAACUAUUGCUUACGUUCAGAAUCAUAAGAGCCUAACUAGAGAUGUGCAAUCUGAUCCGGAUCGGUAUGGAGAGUGAAUGAUUCAUGGCUCAUUUUUUACAAGAACCGGAUGAUCGGUUCACUAGAGCUCAACAAACUUUUUCUCCGAGUGCUUAGGGGAAAGUGGGGCAGUUUGGCAACCUUAAGAAAAUCAUCACUAAUCAUAUAAAAUUCAGUGGAAUAUUCGAAUGAUGUUCAAACAAAUGGAUAGAGUACUGCCUAUUUAAGGCUAUAUUUUUUUAGUCUUGCGAAUGACUGAUUUGUUUUAACCAAAGCAGCUGUUUCAAAACGUUAUGUAAUAUACCACAGAACAGAAGGGCAAGUGCAAACAAAUCAGUGAAUCACGAAGUGGUUCGUUCUGCUGCUCAACAAACGAUGCGUUGUGGUAGCGUUCCACACGGGCUUUCUAUGUGCCCUCACACUAUCAUAGCAUUCUGCCCAUCUUAACUGCAGGCAGAAGAUGCUUUCUACCGCUAGGUGCGCUAGUGUUCGUCAAUGAAGAGUUGAGCCACUUUCUGAUCCGAAGUUCCACUUCUGUUCUGUGAUGAUACGGUAAUAUUUAUUAAAGGAAUGCCUAAUGCAAAAUUGAAGUAUUUAAGAAAUAUCAGUGGUGUUCAUAUUGCCUCGAAUGAACUUAAGUAAAAUUUUGUUAUUAAAAUCU
This is an RNA transcript of Ochlerotatus camptorhynchus, 13096 nucleotides long. It is a transcript of the gene named phosphatidylinositol 3-kinase regulatory subunit alpha, with no coding region annotated. The record is from RefSeq and is a predicted model, not a curated record. The transcript has 11 exons. NCBI's taxonomy places the organism in Eukaryota, Metazoa, Arthropoda, Insecta, Diptera, Culicidae.